This 856-nucleotide ribosomal RNA is filed under the name uncultured bacterium. RNAcentral's name for it is "bacterial SSU rRNA". It matches the Rfam family "Bacterial small subunit ribosomal RNA", at positions 60 to 894 of the family's 1533-position model. The record is from RNAcentral.
AGUCGACGGGACUUUCGCUGUAGCAAUACAGUGGAAGUUCUAGUGGCGAACGGGUGCGUAACACGUGGGCAAUCUGCCUUAAAGUGGGGGAUAGCUCGGCGAAAGCCGGAUUAAUACCGCAUGUGAUGAGAGUAGACAUCUAUUCGAAAUCAAAGGUGGCGCAAGCUACCGCUUUUAGAGGAGCCCGCGGCCUAUCAGCUAGUUGGUGAGGUAACGGCUCACCAAGGCUUUGACGGGUAGCUGGUCUGAGAGGACGACCAGUCACACUGGAACUGAGACACGGUCCAGACACCUACGGGUGGCAGCAGUCGAGAAUUUUUCUCAAUGGGGGAAACCCUGAAGGAGCGACGCCGCGUGGAGGAUGAAGGUCUUCGGGUUGUAAACUCCUGUCAUUUGGGAACAAUGCUGACGUAUUAACUGUACGUUAGUUGAUAGUACCAGAAGAGGAAGAGACGGCUAACUCUGUGCCAGCAGCCGCGGUAAUACAGAGGUCUCAAGCGUUGUUCGGAUUCAUUGGGCGUAAAGGGUGUGUAGGUGGCGCGCUAAGUCGGGUGUGAAAUUUCGGAGCUUAACUCCGAAACUGCAUUCGAUACUGGCGUGCUUGAGGACUGGAGAGGAGACUGGAAUUCAUGGUGUAGCAGUGAAAUGCGUAGAGAUCAUGAGGAAGACCAGUGGCGAAGGCGGGUCUCUGGACAGUUCCUGACACUGAGACACGAAGGCCAGGGGAGCAAACGGGAUUAGAUACCCCGGUAGUCCUGGCAGUAAACGGUGCACGUUUGGUGUGGGAGGAUUCGACCCCUUCUGCGCCGAACCUAACGCGUUAAACGUGCCGCCUGGGGAAGUACGGUCGCAGAAU